AAAUCUGUGCUGGUGCUGUGAAAACGAAAGUAAAUAGAAUUACCAUGGAAACCGAGAAGGUUACGAGCAUGGUGCGCGUCUCACAUUUACAAUCAACCACUGCCACAUGAUUCAUGGAUUCUAAAGCUUAACUCCUCUGCCACACAGCCUUCCUUCUUUCGGAUAAAAAAGCGUGCCAUCAGAGGCUGGACAGUUUUCCCUCCUGUGGCUAUUGUUGAAAGCCUGCCACCAGCACACAGUUUGGCCAGUGCCAGAGAGAGAUUGAAAGGGAAACAGAGAGAGGAGAGUAAGGUCUGGAUUAAUCUUGUUGCAUGGCCACUGGAUGUAUGCCCACUUCAAGUAAUCCACCGCUUGGUUCCGAUUUACGCAAACCUGCCAAUUUAAUUACAAUUUUAAACCAGACAGAAUAAUUUCUCUCUUAAUUUAUAUUAUCCUUCUAGAAUCCUAAUCAUGUCUUUAUUGUUUUUAAGGGGAUUCAAUAAUUUCUUAGAACGUUUUCCAGAAUGGUAAACUGUGUUUUUUAUAUGCUUUAAAUUAAAAUGUUGAUCUUUUAAAUUAUUUAAAUAAAUAGGCAUGGCAACAACAUUAGCAUUAUUAACAAUAAAAACAAUGACAAAAUAGGGUGUUGACAGGAAGAUAAAUAUUAAUUACUAUAUAAAUAACUUUCCCUAAUAUAUAUACUCAUAAACAUAUUCACCUUAGAAGUAUUGGUUUUCUGUAUGUAUUUUAUUUAUAUUUUUAAAAGUUUUUUUACUUCUUUUUUUUGAGAGAAUUAUCAUAUUGGCACAAUAUUUUAUUCAUAUGACAUGCACCUUUGUUAUGCACUAUAAUCAAAAUGUCUUUCCAGAGAUUAUUUAUAUUAGCAUUCAUCAAGAUUUAAAUCACCAAUAAAGGCUGUGGUUGGCAAGUUUGUGUAAUUUAUUAUAUUUCGUUUUCUUUUCUUGAAUGUCACUCACAUAAAUAUACCUUUUGCUGUCUUGCAUAUUUAUGAAUGUUAUUUAUCCAUAAGCCUGUGAUGUAUUUACCAAAUUAGCAUGUUAAAUAUUUUGCAAAAUAUAAAUUUUUACUUUAAUAAAAACACCUAUAUCCCUGUCAUUAAAGAUGCAAAGGUCCAGCCAGCCAAUUGUUUUUUUCAAUUUCUAGCCGCUCAGUUUCAGUAGCUUGUAUUUAGAUUUCUCUUCAUAUCUGACAGAUGUUUUUCUGUACACUGUGGUUGUAAAGAAUAUUUAUUUCGGUUACUGUAACCUUCCUGCUAGCUUGAACCAGUGUGGUUAUUCUUUUCUUAUCUCUCUCCUUAACAAGAUGUUUUAGGCUACAGACCCACCUCUCACUGGAUGUUUUUUGUUUUCCUAU
Long non-coding RNA from Silurus meridionalis, 1353 nucleotides. RefSeq lists it as uncharacterized. The transcript is spliced from 3 exons. The record is from RefSeq and is a predicted model, not a curated record. Lineage: Eukaryota; Metazoa; Chordata; Actinopteri; Siluriformes; Siluridae.